CCCCACGGGACUCAGCAGUGAUA
This 23-nucleotide non-coding RNA is filed under the name Cricetulus griseus (Chinese hamster). Lineage: Eukaryota; Metazoa; Chordata; Mammalia; Rodentia; Cricetidae. The record is from RNAcentral.